Molecule: ribosomal RNA, 668 nt
Filed under: uncultured bacterium
Lineage: Bacteria
Description: bacterial SSU rRNA
Rfam family: Bacterial small subunit ribosomal RNA
Source: RNAcentral
UUAAACUCCGGCAUGCCUUACACAUGCAAGUCGAACGGCAGCACGGGGGCAACCCUGGUGGCGAGUGGCGAACGGGUGAGUAAUACAUCGGAACGUGUCCUGUAGUGGGGGAUAGCCCGGCGAAAGCCGGAUUAAUACCGCAUACGCUCUACGGAGGAAAGGGGGGGAUCUUAGGACCUCUCGCUACAGGGGCGGCCGAUGGCAGAUUAGCUAGUUGGUGGGGUAAAGGCCUACCAAGGCGACGAUCUGUAGCUGGUCUGAGAGGACGACCAGCCACACUGGGACUGAGACACGGCCCAGACUCCUACGGGAGGCAGCAGUGGGGAAUUUUGGACAAUGGGGGCAACCCUGAUCCAGCAAUGCCGCGUGUGUGAAGAAGGCCUUCGGGUUGUAAAGCACUUUUGUCCGGAAAGAAAUCCUGUGGGCUAAUACCCUGUGGGGAUGACGGUACCGGAAGAAUAAGCACCGGCUAACUACGUGCCAGCAGCCGCGGUAAUACGUAGGGUGCAAGCGUUAAUCGGAAUUACUGGGCGUAAAGCGUGCGCAGGCGGUUCGCUAAGACAGAUGUGAAAUCCCCGGGCUUAACCUGGGAACUGCAUUUGUGACUGGCGGGCUAGAGUAUGGCAGAAGGGGGUAGAAUUCCACGUGUAAGCAGUGAAAUGCCUUAG